GAUGAAGAACGCAGCGAAAUGCGAUACUUGGUGUGAAUUGCAGAAUCCCGUGAACCAUCGAGUCUUUGAACGCAAGUUGCGCCCGAAGCCAUUAGGCCGAGGGCACGCCUGCCUGGGCGUCACACGUCGUUGCCCCCCCAUCUACUCCUUCGGGAUUGCGGGGGGCGGAUGAUGGCCUCCCGUGCGCCUCGUCGCGCGGUUGGCAUAAAUGCCAAGUCCUCGGCGACGCACGCCACGACAAUCGGUGGUUGCGAAACCUCGGUUGCCCGUCGUGUGCGGUCGUCGCGCAUCGAGGGCUCGAAAAAAUUGUCGGGCUCCGGCUCGGCUUUCAACGCGACCCCACGUCAGGCGGGGUUACCCGCUGAAUUUAAGCAUAUCAAUAAGCGGAGGA
Molecule: unclassified non-coding RNA, 391 nt
Filed under: soil metagenome
Description: partial contains 5.8S ribosomal RNA, internal transcribed spacer 2, and large subunit ribosomal RNA
Rfam family: 5.8S ribosomal RNA (bases 1-122)
Source: RNAcentral